Heterocephalus glaber (naked mole-rat) is the source of this 1355-nucleotide long non-coding RNA. The record is from Ensembl. NCBI's taxonomy places the organism in Eukaryota, Metazoa, Chordata, Mammalia, Rodentia, Bathyergidae.
GGGCAGAGCGGUCCUGGGUUGACUGUAGCCCCACUCCCUCCAGCUCGCCAUGACCACUUGUGACCAGGAGAUGGUGAGGAUCCCCCGGGUAUGCACAUGAGCUUCCAGGAUACCAGUGCAGGCACCUGCAACAACAGGGCCCCUCCCCCUGCCUCUAGUCUCUUGGCUGUGCAGCUACCUGGUAUCACACUACAGAGGAACAGGGGCCAUUGUCCUGAGCUGCAGAAGUGAACAACAGAAAGGGGUCUCUCUCAGGCUCCCUGAUGAAAACUGAAGCCCACUGGAAGAGUGAAGGGAAUCUCUGUAACUAAAGGCACACCAGACCACCACACUUGGUAAGUUGGAGGGAUCAUCACCACCCAUUGGAACCUGGACUAUUUUCAGGGGAAAGGCAGCUGGAAACUGCAAUAGAAUCUUGCAGAGUUCAACAAUGCAGGACAGGGAGCUCAACUUGGGACUUGCAGCCAGAAAUCUGCCUGAAUCUCAUGGGUCUGUGACUGGCUUACUGAGACUCACUGACUUAUAACUGCACACUGCUGCAAACAUUGUCUAUUGUGACAGCAGAGACAUAUCCUGAAGGAGGCCCUUCAUUUUUAUCAUUUGUUAUUUUCAAAAUUACCACUAUUUUUUGUUCUUAUUUUAAUUUUUUUCUUCUUUUUCUACUCUUUUAAAAUUUUUAUUUUUCUCUUUUAUCUUUCUUUUCUCUUUUCUUUCUCUCUCUCUCCCUCACUCUCUUGCUGUCCCACAUUGUUUUUCAUUUCCCUUUAUGUUCCUGUUCAGGCCCUAAUUUGUAUUUCUUCUUUAUUUUUCUUUUCUUCUCUUUCCCUCUCUCACCUAUGUCCUCUGGCCUCACUGUUAACCUUCCCCUAUCCUUCUACCUGCCUAUUCCUCCCUUCCCAACUUCUUCUAACUCCCUAUUCCAAAGGGUAAAGUUGCUAUAUUGAAGAGUUUAUUUACUAUAAACAUAUGUUGGGUUGGUCCUUGAUUUUGAUUUAAUUCACACAGUUAAAUGUGAUAGAUUAAUAACUACCACAAAUUGUCAUUUUCUAAGAGGUACUUGAUGCUAUUGUGUUGCUGAUUGUAUCACUUGGGCUAAGGUGUUGUGAUUGAUCUAAUCAGUUGUCUUUCCUGGUAUAAUGAAAAUGAGAUAACCUCAGAGUCAUUAGAGACUCAAAACAUAAAGACCAGCUGUAUCUGGAAGACACCUCUGAAAAGCAAUCAUUCUAUAAGGGUUCUAAAUACAUCAAUGAAGAUACUUACAAUAAACAACCUCAAAGUAUCAAACCAGGAACUAAACCAAGGACAGUACCAAAAACAAAAAUGAGAAAACAUUUAAACAAGGCCCAAACUCAGAC